GAUACUGAUAAGAAGAUUAAUAAUAAUCUAUUUAUGGAAUUAAUAGAAUUAAUUUUGUUACAACUGUAAAUAUGUAGCUUUUGUGUUCCAAAAUAUGUAACCUGAUUGCUACAGUGAAUGUUUUGUAGAUUCAGUGAAGCAACUUCUGUUUUUUUCUUUUUAUCAAAAUCAAGUAACCUUAUUUGGACACAUGUGUUUUGAUAAGGAUUAAUUAGAUAUGGAAUUUUUGUAGACCAUUAUAUUGAAUGGUAUUCAAAAAAUAUAAGGGUUCUAUAAUUUAUUUAUUUUUUUAUAAUCUUGAGAUUUAUGUGCAUCUUAAUAUUAGAUCUUGCACAUUUUUUAAUUUUUUCUAUUAAUUUCUAUUCAUUUAUAUACUUGAUAUUGUAUGGUAGAUGAAACAAAUAUAUUUAAAGUGCAAAAAUAUAUUUGAAUCAAAUAGCUUACAAUCAGGUGGUUUGAAUCAUGAUUACUAUUGCAAAAUGAUUUGAUCUGAGUAACUACAUGAAAGUCUAUAUAUAAUCAUCAAUUAUAUAAAACAACUUAGGUAUAAUAUAACGAGACAAGACAAAGAAGCCUUCUCAUUAGUGCCUAAUAACACAAGUUAAUGCUAUAUAUAUAUAUAUAUAUAUAUAUAAUUCUCUCAAAAUACUAUAUCUCUACUAGUUUUGUACCAAUAAAUAUAUUAGCACUAUCUCUACCAAAACUUUAUACAAUCAUUUGAAUGAUGUAGGGUGAGAAAAAUGUUAUUGAUAAAUAAAAGGACUCAUUAAGUUUAUUGUCCUAAUUGACAUCCAAAUUAUAGUUUUUUUUUUUUUUUUUUUUUUUUUUAAUCUACUUGUAACUUUCUCAUGUCCGGUUUAUUUGAAGGGAAAAGAAUUUAAAAAAUAAAACAAAACUGGGUAUUUGUUAGAACGUGUUCAGUUCCAAUGCACUAUUUAACUUUGAGGGUAUUUCAAAAUUUGCAUUUAAACUUAUUUUUAAAUGUUUAAGGUUUUAUUGGUUACAUUUGAAGUUUAAUUUGCAAAGAAAAUCACAAAUCCAUCAUAUGGUGAUAGAUUGAAUAAAUGAAAUUUUUAUCCUUUGAUCAUUGUUUUUAUUUUUCUUGUAAAAAAACCCAAAAUCAAAUGCAUUUGUUUAAGAAAAAGUUAUGAUUCUUACUUAUUUAAUAUGUAUAUGUAUAUUGCUAUAAUUUUCAAAAUAAGAAUAACAACAAUAACAAUGUAAAAAAAAAAAAAAAACAAACAAAACAAAACAAAACUGAGGUUAACCAUUCCAAUCAGAACCAGCGCAUUAUGAAGAAGAACUUCAUGAAUUUACACUUCUCUUUGUUUGUUAAAUAUUUGCAAGAGAUGUAAAAACUUUUCAAAUCUUUGUGUUCAACUUUUUCCGUGUAUAAUUUCAUGAUUUUACGAACUUAUGAAAUUAUGUAAGUAAAUCAUGAAAUUAUAUAAAGAAAAGUUGUGAAGAAUCAUAGUUUAGUUUCUAGAUUACCAAUCUCAGGAGAACAACAAAACCGUGGCCAUUAAUUUCUUUUAUCAAAUCAUCCAGGUCACAAUCUUGCAGCGUGAACUGUCCUUCAUAAACAAUAAACAAUAAAAUAUGUUAAAAACUGAUAUGCUAUAUCAAGGUGCAUGAAUUGCUACUCAACCACAUCAACAUAACUCAAAAAGCUUUCACUUACUUAACUGCACACCUAAAAGAUGUCCAAAAAAUAUUUACAAUUAUACAAAUAUAUACAUACAUGAUUAUAAACCAAAACCUAAGGAGAUUUAAACCAUACCCUCAAUCACCUCUAAUUUUAUCCAAAAGAUGCACAACUUUGCACUAAAAACCUCAAUAAAUGUGUUCCUCGCUUUGUAGAAGCAAAUUCAAUGAAUAUGAAGGAGGUACCAUGUAACACCUUUUGUAAGAAUUGAGUCUUAAAAAUGUAAUUGUAAUGGUAUUGUCAUCCACUCAUGAGUUAAAGCUUCCCCGGACAUAUCUUUCCCUAAUACAAAAUUGUGCAACACAUUGAAAAUCAUAUAAUAAAAUUGACAAGAAUAUAAAUAUAUAUAUAUAUAUAUAUAUGAUUCAUAUAGAAAUUUUAUGACACAAACAAAAAAAAAACUAUAAGUAUUUAGGGAACAAUAAAUACAUCUAUGAAGAAAAGAGUUGUAGUGAGGAAAAGGUUCUUCAAGGUCUUUUCGAAGCUUUAACUAAUGAGAGGAUAUUGUCAACAUGCACAAUUACUUGCAAUAGCAGAAAUGUUGGGAAAAUGUUUAUUCACCAUAAUUUAAAAACUAUAAAAAAUUAAAAAUUAAAAACUUGUAAAGCACUUGUGUGUGUGAAUAUAUAUAUAUAUAUAUAUAUAUAUGCAAAUAUAUAUCAGAAAAGCAUCAACAUGAAUAUUUAAUGAUGCAUUUUUAUAAAAUAAAUGUAAAAAUGAAUAACAAGAUGUUCUUUAGAUAAAUAUUAUUUAAAGAGAUUUACUUUACUUGGAUUGCUGCUGGACUAGUACCAACCAUUAUAGCUUUAUGUACAUACCUAUUAUUAUUAUUAUUAUUAAUACAUUUUUUUUAACUCAUUAACAAUACACUCUCAAACGUGGUGUCACCUUUGUAAUCUAAUUUUAUUCAUUUGUAUACUUUGUACACUUGAAAAUUGCAUGAUUGCUUUGUAUAUAAUAUUUAAGUUUUGUUUGGAAUGUUGAUUCAUCGUGAUUUUUAUGAGUUUUUAUGAUUUUUAUGAGUUUCUGAUGUCAACGAGAAUUCUGAUUCUCAAACCUCGUAUGUCAUUCGUGCAUAUGGGCAUAAAAAUUACAAAAUUUUAGUGUGCAAAACCUUUAAAUAUAAACUAUAAUUGAUUUCUACAUAAUGAUUUUGCUACCAAGUAAUAUAACAAUGUUAUCAUUGUGUUUAAGACCACUCUAAGUAGCCCCUUCCUCCACUUAAGCAAUCAUGCAAUGUAUAAAAUAAUUUUAAUCUAUCAUAAAUUACUGAUAUUCAUUUAAAUCUUAUACAUAUACUCAGUAAUCAAUAGUAACAUGAUAUUAAUAUUUUGCAAAAAUAAUCUUGUAUUGUCAAUACAAAGUAAACAUAUACAUAAAUGUUUUAAACAACCUAAAUAAUAGAACUUCAUUUGGAAUGCACUUAAACAACACUGUCUUAAACAGAAUCAAUGUGAUCUUAAAAACAUGAUUAGUACAUAACAAGGGAGGAUGCUUUAAUAUGAAGCACCCACUUCUACAACAUGGUCCUUCAAAACCCAACUCAAUCUCAAUGCUUUGAGAUGCAUUGUGAAACUCAUAACUAUUUCAAAAUGCUGCAUCACAUCAAAGCUUCAAACUAUGUUGCAAUACCUUUUACAAACAAAACUUGUGUCUUAUCAUCUUCGGAUCACACCAAUUGGUUGCACAACAUGAACCUUGUAUUUGAAUCCUUUUUUUUUCUUCUAUUCAUCUCUUCAAUCAAAUAACCAUGUAAUAAAUCAUGCAAUGAAGUUAGGUAUAUGCAAAUUAUGCAAGUGGGUUUGUUUGCAAUUGUAGGUCAACUUGGAGCAUUUUAAGAAUCUUGACAUGUGUGCUCAAAAUCAACUUUGCAUAAUUUACAAUACAAUUCCAUCCACCAACAUUAUAAAUUAGGUAGAAUAUAUAUAUAUAUAUAUAUAUAUUUCAUUUUAUUUUAGAUAUGAAAGUAUUGAAAAGAUUUCAUACAAAUUUAUGAAUAUAUAACUUAUGAAUAUAUGAUCUUUUAUUCAAAACCUUCCCUUUAUGACUUUUAAUGCAUAUCUAUAAAUGAGGUAAAUUUGAUUAAAUUUAAUCUUUAUAAAUUCAUAUUGACAAAUGUGAAUAUCUUUUUUCUAUUUGCCUAUCACUUCAAGUUCUGUAACCAUUAAUAUAUAUAUAUAUAUAUAUAUAUGUAUGUAUAUCUGAAUAAGAAAUAAACUUAAAAGACCUCUACAAAAUAUUAAUGAUCCCAGUUAUACAUAAUUCUUAAAGAUCUUACAUUAUUGUUCUAAAGUUGCUAUUACAAAGUAAUCAAUUAUGCUCCAUUAUUGUAUCACCAUCCAGGAUCGUGAACAAUAAAUUCUGUUUAUAGCUACAAAUAUUUUGCUAAGCAAGUAUAGAUACUUAAAAACUCUCAAACUAAAAUUGUUUUUUAUUUGUUAAUGCACAUUCUUAAAGUUGAUCUAAACUUAUGUUUUGACUUUUCAUGGAAAGCUUUAUCUCUCUCUCUCUCUCUCUCUCCCUUUCUACAGAUAUAUAUAUAUAUAUAUAUACAUACUAGAAAAAGCUCAUGUAGCAAGCUAAAUGAUUGUGUAACCAUUGCAAUAACCUUAAAUCAUUCAUAUUUGUAUAUAAAAGAAAGAUGUGUUUGUGAUGAAAAUGUAUUACAAAAAAGUUACCAAAAAAGUUACCAAAAAUCUAUUGCAAUCUUUAAAAGUUGUACAGCCAAUCAGCCAAUCAGCCAAUCA
Molecule: long non-coding RNA, 4452 nt
Filed under: Physcomitrium patens
Lineage: Eukaryota; Viridiplantae; Streptophyta; Bryopsida; Funariales; Funariaceae
Description: long non-coding RNA (PPAT_LNC007158)
Source: RNAcentral